UCAUCUUACGAAAUUCUUUUA
This 21-nucleotide non-coding RNA is filed under the name Caenorhabditis elegans. The record is from RNAcentral. Lineage: Eukaryota; Metazoa; Nematoda; Chromadorea; Rhabditida; Rhabditidae.